This 400-nucleotide ribosomal RNA is filed under the name uncultured Thelephoraceae. RNAcentral describes it as "eukaryotic LSU rRNA". The stretch from base 1 to 105 matches the Rfam family "5.8S ribosomal RNA", at positions 50 to 154 of the family's 154-position model. Lineage: Eukaryota; Fungi; Basidiomycota; Agaricomycetes; Thelephorales; Thelephoraceae. The record is from RNAcentral.
GAAAUGCGAUAAGUAAUGUGAAUUGCAGAAUUCAGUGAAUCAUCGAAUCUUUGAACGCACCUUGCGCUCCUUGGUAUUCCGAGGAGCAUGCCUGUUUGAGUGUCAUGAAAUUCUCAACUGCCUUUUAGCAUUUAUGUUAAGGUGAAGUUGGAGUUGGAGGAUAACUGCUGGCGCAACUUAGGUUGCUUGUUAGCUCCUCUUAAAUGGAUAAGCUUUUCUGAUAGAUUAUAGCUCAGUAAUAUUAAUGUGAUAAUGAUCUACAUUAUAUGUGAAAGCUAUAAGUAGAGUUUAUGGAGAAGCUCUCUAUAGAAAGGGUAUAAUAACUUGACAAAUCUGACCUCAAAUCAGGUAGGACUACCCGCUGAACUUAAGCAUAUCAAUAAGCGGAGGAAAAGAAACU